Long non-coding RNA from Rhododendron vialii, 851 nucleotides. RefSeq lists it as uncharacterized. The transcript is spliced from 3 exons. The record is from RefSeq and is a predicted model, not a curated record. Lineage: Eukaryota; Viridiplantae; Streptophyta; Magnoliopsida; Ericales; Ericaceae.
GUGAGAUUGGGAUUGUACACGGUCAUAGAAAGGAUGUAUCCAGGUAUCCAAGCAAGAUUAAAACUUUAUGCCCAAAUGGACAAAUUUCAUAAUGUCGUUGGUAUGUUUGGCAUUGAUAUGGCCGUUAUAACUAGAGAGAAGAAACAACCCGGACUAUGGUGGGAGAGCUAUGGAGGUAUUUGCAAAGAACUCCAAGAGUUAGCCACAAGAGUUCUAUCCCUCACAUGUAGUGCUACCGGGUGUGAAAGAAAUUGGAGUACCUUUCAACACAUCCAUUCAAACAAGAGGAACCGGUUAGAAGCAUAAAGAUUGAAUGCAUUAGUCUUUGUCAAGUACAAUCUCACUUUGGAGUUUAGGCAAAAGAAAUGCGAGGAGAAUGGUGAUGCUUAUGAUCCUAUUUGUCUCUCCGAUAUGGAAUUUGAUGACAAAUGGAUUACUGAAAGAGAAGACCCAUGCUUACCGCUAGACCCUUCAUGGAUGGAUAUGAAUAAGUGCUUUGAAGUUAAUAAGGGAGAAACUAGUAGAAAAGGACGUAGAGGACCAAAAAACCUUCAAAAUGACAGAAAAGGCUAAAGGAAGUUUGUUGGAGAAGAGAAUGAGGUUGAAAUUAUUGAUGAUGAUGUAGAGGAAGAAGUAGAGGAAGAAAAAGAAGAAUAUAUUGAUGAUGAUGGGGUGGUGCUGGGGGAUGACCUUGAAGAUGAUGAUGAUCUUUACAACGUUGGCGUGAGAGAGGAAUAGGAGAUUUGAGCAAAAAGACAAACUUGAUAUGUUUGGUUUACUUAUUACUUUUGACUUUUGAGCUUUUAAGUUAGCAUAUUAGUAGUAAAUGGUUAUAAACCAUGCAAUUAAGG